RNAcentral lists this ribosomal RNA (254 nucleotides) under uncultured bacterium. RNAcentral's name for it is "partial 16S ribosomal RNA". It matches the Rfam family "Bacterial small subunit ribosomal RNA", at positions 524 to 776 of the family's 1533-position model. The record is from RNAcentral.
GACAGGGGGUGCAAACGUUGUUCGGAAUUACUGGGCGUAAAGCGCGUGUAGGCGGCUUUGCAAGUCGGGCGUGAAAUCCCAUGGCUCAACCAUGGAAGUGCACUCGAAACUGCAGAGCUAGAGUCCUGGAGAGGAAGGUGGAAUGCUUGGUGUAGAGGUGAAAUUCGUAGAUAUCAAGCGGAACACCGGUGGCGAAAGGCGGCCUUCUGGACAGUGACUGACGCUGAGGAGCGAAAGCCAGGGGAGCAAACGGG